This 65-nucleotide transfer RNA is filed under the name Pericapritermes nitobei. Its description in RNAcentral is "tRNA-His". It matches the Rfam family "tRNA". Rfam says of the family: Transfer RNA (tRNA) molecules are approximately 80 nucleotides in length. Their secondary structure includes four short double-helical elements and three loops (D, anti-codon, and T loops). The record is from RNAcentral. RNAcentral also lists the same sequence under 1 other name. Lineage: Eukaryota; Metazoa; Arthropoda; Insecta; Blattodea; Termitidae.
AUCUAAAUAGUUUAAGUUAAAAUGUUGGUUUGUGGUGCCGAUGAUAUAAGUUUUUAUUUUGGAUU